GACGAACGCUGGCGGCGUGCUUAACACAUGCAAGUCGAACGGAAAGGCCCUGCUUUUGUGGGGUGCUCGAGUGGCGAACGGGUGAGUAACACGUGAGUAACCUGCCCUUGACUUUGGGAUGACUUCAGGAAACUGGGGCUAAUACCGGAUCGGAGCUCCUGCUGCAUGGUGGGGGUUGGAAAGUCUCGGCGGGUGGGGAUGGACUCGCGGCUUAUCAGCUUGUUGGUGGGGUAGUGGCUUACCAAGGCUUUGACGGGUAGCCGGCCUGAGAGGGUGGCCGGCCACAUUGGGACUGAGAUACGGACCAGACUCCUACGGGAGGCAGCAGUGGGGAAUAUUGCACAAUGGGCGGAAGCCUGAUGCAGCAACGCCGCGUGCGGGAUGACGGCCUUCGGGUUGUAAACCGCUUUCGCCUGUGACGCAGCGUGAGUGACGGUAAUGGGUAAAGAAGCACCGGCUAACUACGUG
RNAcentral lists this ribosomal RNA (468 nucleotides) under uncultured bacterium. Its description in RNAcentral is "partial 16S ribosomal RNA". It matches the Rfam family "Bacterial small subunit ribosomal RNA", at positions 28 to 507 of the family's 1533-position model. The record is from RNAcentral.